This 253-nucleotide ribosomal RNA is filed under the name uncultured bacterium. RNAcentral's name for it is "partial 16S ribosomal RNA". It matches the Rfam family "Bacterial small subunit ribosomal RNA", at positions 524 to 776 of the family's 1533-position model. The record is from RNAcentral.
UACGUAGGGGGCAAGCGUUGUCCGGAUUUAUUGGGCGUAAAGCGUGCGCAGGCGGUUUUGUAAGCCAGAUGUGAAAGCCCCGGGCUUAACCUGGGAAUGGCAUUUGGGACUGCAAGGCUGGAGUGUGGCAGAGGAGACUGGAAUUCCUGGUGUAGCAGUGAAAUGCGUAGAUAUCGUAAGGAAGACCAGUGGCGAAGGCGGGUCUCUGGACAGUUCCUGACGCUGAGGCACGAAGGCCAGGGGAGCAAACGGG